This 494-nucleotide ribosomal RNA is filed under the name uncultured bacterium. RNAcentral describes it as "partial 16S ribosomal RNA". It matches the Rfam family "Bacterial small subunit ribosomal RNA", at positions 28 to 507 of the family's 1533-position model. The record is from RNAcentral.
GGCGAACGCUGGCGGCGUGCCUAAUACAUGCAAGUAGAACGCUGAAGGAGGAGCUUGCUUCUCUGGAUGAGUUGCGAACGGGUGAGUAACGCGUAGGUAACCUGCCUGGUAGCGGGGGUAACUAUUGGAAACGAUAGCUAAUACCGCAUAAUAGUAGAUGUUGCAUGACAUUUGCUUAAAAGGUGCAAUUGCAUCCCUACCAGAUGGACCUGCGUUGUAUUAGCUAGUUGGUGGGGUAACGGCUCACCAAGGCGACGAUACAUAGCCGACCUGAGAGGGUGAUCGGCCACACUGGGACUGAGACACGGCCCAGACUCCUACGGGAGGCAGCAGUAGGGAAUCUUCGGCAAUGGACGGAAGUCUGACCGAGCAACGCCGCGUGAGUGAAGAAGGUUUUCGGAUCGUAAAGCUCUGUUGUAAGAGAAGAACGAGUGUGAGAGUGGAAAGUUCACACUGUGACGGUAUCUUACCAGAAAGGGACGGCUAACUACGUG